Molecule: ribosomal RNA, 424 nt
Filed under: uncultured bacterium
Lineage: Bacteria
Description: bacterial SSU rRNA
Rfam family: Bacterial small subunit ribosomal RNA
Source: RNAcentral
GUGGGGAAUAUUGCACAAUGGGCGCAAGCCUGAUGCAGCAACGCCGCGUGAACGAAGAAGGCCUUCGGGUCGUAAAGUUCUGUCGCAUGGGAAGAUAAUGACGGUACCAUGUGAGAAAGCCCCGGCUAACUACGUGCCAGCAGCCGCGGUAAUACGUAGGGGGCAAGCGUUAUCCGGAAUUACUGGGCGUAAAGGGUGCGUAGGUGGUCUGACAAGUCAGGGGUGAAAGGCAACGGCUCAACCGUUGUAAGCCUUUGAAACUGUUGGACUUGAGUUCUGGAGGGGAAGUCGGAAUUCCUAGUGUAGCGGUGAAAUGCGUAGAUAUUAGGAGGAACACCGGUGGCGAAGGCGGACUUCUGGACAGAUACUGACGCUGAGGCACGAAAGCGUGGGGAGCAAACAGGAUUAGAAACCCUAGUAGUCC